AUACGUAGGGGGCGAGCGUUAUCCGGAAUUAUUGGGUUUAAAGGGUGCGUAGGCUGUGCGUUAAGUCAGGGGUGAAAUGCCGUCGCUCAACGACGGAGCUGCCCUUGAUACUGGCGUGCUGGAGUACGGAUGCCGUUGGAGGAAUGAGUGGUGUAGCGGUGAAAUGCUUAGAUAUCACUCAGAACACCGAUUGCGAAGGCAUCUGACGAAUCCGUCACUGACGCUGAGGCACGAAAGCGUGGGGAUAGAACAGGAUUAGAUACCCUGGUAUUCCACGCCGUAAACGAUGAUGACUAACCGUCGGCGAUAGACAGCCGGUGGCCAAGCGAAAGCGAUAAGUCAUCCACCUGGGGAGUACGUCGGCAACGAUGAAACUCAAAGGAAUUGACGGGG
RNAcentral lists this ribosomal RNA (393 nucleotides) under uncultured bacterium. RNAcentral's name for it is "partial 16S ribosomal RNA". It matches the Rfam family "Bacterial small subunit ribosomal RNA", at positions 523 to 918 of the family's 1533-position model. The record is from RNAcentral.